GGAAAAAAACCUUUGGGCCAGAAAUAGAAUUAUUUUAACUAUUUAUUUACACAAUUGUUCUAUUCCAGACUGGAGUCGAUCUUGCUUCAAUCAUCAGACACCAUGUCUCGAAAUUUACUGAGAUUUCAUGAAGCCUCUUCUCACGCUUUAUAUCUAACACCAUUAGGAGUUUCAUGGUUAUUUUGCCUUCUAAUUUCUGAUCCCAAAGAUGCUGAGAGAAAUUCUGAAUCUUACCUUGAGGCAAGAGAAAGCUUAACAUGUUGAAAAGAAUUUAUGAGAAUCUUUGCCUCUGUUUUUCUUCUGUAAUAAAAUUCAGAUGCAGCCAAUUACUUACAUCAGUGUGCAAGCCACACCCUCAGUAAAGCGUAACGAGGUGAAUACUGAUUUCAAUCUUUCCAUCAGCAUUACUAUACAUCUUGUUUUUAGGCCAGUUUCAUUCACUGCUUCCAACACAGGUCAUGUGUAUCAGUUUGUAACAUGAAUGGUAUUAGAAAAUCUUUAGAAAUAUUUAUUUAUUUAUUUAAAUUAUUGCAACUUUAGAGCCCCCUGUGGUGAUACUGUAUGGAUGUCACACUCGAAUCUCAGUUGUCUUUGAUGUCAGACUGCACGACCAAGUUGCCAAGAUGGACAUACGGAAGAAGAAUCGUCCGGAAUGUUUCAUCAUCAGUCUGUGACACGUUCGGUGCCGGUUUUGCAGUCACUUCACUUCAGACAACUUCACAAUGUAAGAUCUUGAGGACUGGAUAGCCAUUCCCGAGCAUACCCAGAGAGAAUUGUCUAGAGUAAAUACAACACACACAGAGAGCAAAUGACGGAGACAUUACAAGCAUGACAACAACUCUAGGGGUCUUGGCAGAAACAACACUGCUUCAAACAAGACCUGUAGUCAAGCAACGGGGGUCUACAAACUCCUCCUCAUAGCAAUGAUGGAAAACAGCAGGCAGAUUAUUGUACAUCACGCUUAAACUGUGACCCUUGGUUGCUUUGCACAGUUUUAAUAAUUGCUGGUGGCUGAACAGUAUAAUGUUUGUAGUUCUAAUAUUCCAACAGACAACCAGCCUUUUUUGAUAUAUUUUUUUAUAUUUUUUAUUUUUUUAUUUUUUUUGACGGACGUCAUAACAUGCAUGAAGGGUGAAUUGUUUGCUUUUACGGUAUAAUGAAUAAUGUUCAUUAUACUUAUUAUAUGGAACAAAGUUUAUUUAAAAUAAAUGACAUGUUAUUCAGGCACUGACAUAUUUUGCUUGUCAAAAAUGUUACAUUCAGCUGUUGCAAAUUCAUUGACUUUAAAAUCAAGUUGUUGUUUUUUUUUAAAAGAAAAGGAGUGGUUUAGAUGCACAAAGUUGUUUUUAAUUUCUCUCAAAAUCUUUUAUUGUAACCCAUGAAAUGCAGGUCCUGUUGUAAAUACAAUACAUGGAAAAAUUAUUAUUUACAACAAAAUCUACAUACAGGAAUACAUACAUGAUUAUUUUUUAUUACAUUUUGCCAGUGUGACGCAUCAGUUCUCUCUAUGUUAAAUGUUAUUGUGAGAGCACUUGUCAGAAAAAACCAAGCUCAUAAUUAGCCCUAGGGGCUGCCCCAUGGCACUGCUCUAAUCAAGCACAGCUUCUGAUGUACAAGAACUGGCUCCUGACACACACAGAGAGAGUGGUAAGCAGAGAGAGAGAGAGAGAGAGAGAGAGAGAAAGAGUAGUAAGCCCAUGGCUCAUGUAAAAACACAAAACCAGAAUGCUGACCACCCUGCAUGAGUAAUAGAAUCAGCCAUAAAGCCAUUCAACGCAAGUCGCAGCUAUAAAGUCUUAAGAAUCAUUUCUUAGGGAUCUGUAGCUUCGGGCUCUUUUUAUAUCAGUGCAGCAGAUUAAGUUUAUUUUCUUUGUUUCAAAUGCAUGUGUGAACUGUCAGCUCUAACAGAUUUGAUAUGUAAUGUCAUUUAAUAAUGGAAUAAUCUCGACCCUGCAUCAUGCUUGUCUUAUGAAGUGCUCCAAACGGAAUGCAAAUGCAGAUCCUUCAGAACUGUUCUUUCAUCUAACACAAAGAAACUCUUUGACCUGACAUUUCUAAAGAAAUUUAGGGUCACACUUUUAAAAUUCAAAUGUAAUAUGUAUGCAUUAACGAGAUAUUUUCUGCUAUCAAGUAUGUAGAGCUAGUUUUACUUUUCCUUCUGUCACUGUGAAUGUGAGAUCUUUAUGUGAUGGGAGUGAAGUGAAAGCGGCUGUUCGUGUUAUGCAGGACAUUUUUGUGUCUCCAUCUUUUAUCAUUUAAUAUACUGGAUAAAAUAUCAAACUGCCCAUUUUUAAAGAUGAAAAUCACAUUGCUUGGUUUUCUUUUACAGUAUCAUUUUUAAAUAAUUUUACUUUGGUUUAUGAAGGUGAUGCCAUGUGUACAGUUUAUUUAAAUAAUAAUAAAAAGGUACAGUGUUGUUUUUUACUUACCAUAUUUCCUUUCUUUGUUCAUAUUUAAAAUAAUUCUAAAAUGUUUUGUUUUGAAAAUCAUUUGAAUUUCUCAAUUUAAUUUCAAUCCUAUUAAUCUUUUUUGCAAUAUAUCCAACAAAAUACAGUCCUUAAUAGCAUCCUCCUUUUGUAAGUUACAGUUUUUGUCGGAAAACAACAGCACAAAUGCAUUAUUAGCGAAGAUGUUUUAAAUUCAGUCUAUUAGAAGGUUUGUCUUUAAAUUAAAUUCAAGUUUUACAGCCUCAUGUUACCUAACUCUCUGUCUCCCAUACCUGAAUGUUUUUUUUUUUUUUGGAAUCCUGCUUGUUUUCUUGCCAUUUUGAAUAAUGAUGUUUUAAUUAAUCAAUUUUAAGUGCCUGAGCUUGAUCACAGUCUGUGUCAAAAAGUCUGGUAAAGCUUUUCAUUGAAAUACUUAGUUCAUUGAAGUAAGAUGCCUGCUGUAUGCGGACGACCUGUUUCUGUCUCCCACAGCUGAGGGUCUCCAGCAAAGCCUGUCCCCAAAUUUAACUCCGCUAUUUACUUGGAGAAGAUGACAUGGCAGACAAACAAGCUGCAAAAUAUG
Molecule: long non-coding RNA, 3009 nt
Organism: Cyprinus carpio carpio
Lineage: Eukaryota; Metazoa; Chordata; Actinopteri; Cypriniformes; Cyprinidae
Source: Ensembl